Molecule: unclassified non-coding RNA, 221 nt
Filed under: soil metagenome
Description: partial contains 5.8S ribosomal RNA, internal transcribed spacer 2, and large subunit ribosomal RNA
Source: RNAcentral
AACCAUAGAAACCUGCGGAGUACCUGCGGAGGGAUCAUUACUGUAAAGCUGGAGGCCAUGGGCCUCCGGUAGUCUGAUCAACCACUUGUGCACGCAUUGAUUUUUAACGGGCUUUGGCGGAUGUAAAAGUCUGCCAAAGUUUUCGUUUAUCAAUAAACUUGUCUUUUAUAUUUGACUGAGCUUGUUUUUAAUCAAAUAAAACAACUUUCAACAAUGGAUCU